This 245-nucleotide ribosomal RNA is filed under the name uncultured bacterium. RNAcentral describes it as "partial 16S ribosomal RNA". It matches the Rfam family "Bacterial small subunit ribosomal RNA", at positions 524 to 768 of the family's 1533-position model. The record is from RNAcentral.
UACGUAGGAUGCGAGCGUUGUCCGGAUUUACUGGGCGUAAAGGGCUCGUAGGCGGGAACAUGCGUCCGGAAGCAAAUUUCACGGCUCAACCGUGGAGCUUUUCCGGAUACGGUGUUUCUUGAGGGCAGAAGAGGAGAAUGGAAUUCCCAGUGUAGCAGUGAAAUGCGUAGAUAUUGGGAAGAACACCAGUGGCGAAGGCGAUUCUCUGGUCUGUCACUGACGCUGAGGAGCGAAAGCGUGGGUAG